Molecule: transfer RNA, 68 nt
Filed under: Marmota monax (woodchuck)
Lineage: Eukaryota; Metazoa; Chordata; Mammalia; Rodentia; Sciuridae
Description: tRNA.Ala
Source: RNAcentral
GGAUUGUGGCUCAGUGGUACAGCACUCGCCUAGCAUGUGCAAGGCACUGGGUUCGAUCCUCAGCACCA